CACUCCUGCGGGAGGCAGCAGUGGGGAAUUUUGGACAAUGGGCGAAAGCCUGAUCCAGCAAUGCCGCGUGAGUGAAGAAGGCCUUCGGGUUGUAAAGCUCUUUUGUCAGGGAAGAAACGGUGAGAGCUAAUAUCUCUUGCUAAUGACGGUACCUGAAGAAUAAGCACCGGCUAACUACGUGCCAGCAGCCGCGGUAAUACGUAGGGUGCAAGCGUUAAUCGGAAUUACUGGGCGUAAAGCGUGCGCAGGCGGUUUUGUAAGUCUGAUGUGAAAUCCCCGGGCUCAACCUGGGAAUUGCAUUGGAGACUGCAAGGCUAGAAUCUGGCAGAGGGGGGUAGAAUUCCACGUGUAGCAGUGAAAUGCGUAGAUAUGUGGAGGAACACCGAUGGCGAAGGCAGCCCCCUGGGUCAAGAUUGACGCUCAUGCACGAAAGCGUGGGGAGCAAACAGGAUUAGAAACCCGAGUAGUCCCAUGAU
RNAcentral lists this ribosomal RNA (476 nucleotides) under uncultured organism. Its description in RNAcentral is "partial 16S ribosomal RNA". It matches the Rfam family "Bacterial small subunit ribosomal RNA", at positions 334 to 801 of the family's 1533-position model. The record is from RNAcentral.